Molecule: ribosomal RNA, 861 nt
Filed under: uncultured archaeon
Lineage: Archaea
Description: bacterial SSU rRNA
Rfam family: Archaeal small subunit ribosomal RNA
Source: RNAcentral
UACCCGCGGCCCGAGUGGUGCCCAUUAUUAUUGAGUCUAAAGCGUCCGUAGCCGGCCGGGUAAAUCUCUGGGUAAAUCGGGCGGCUCAACCGUCCGAACUCCAGAGACACUGCCCGGCUUGGGAUCGGGAGAGGGUGAUGGUACUCCUUGGGUAGGGGUAAAAUCCUGUAAUCCGAGGGGGACCACCAGUGGCGAAGGCGAUCACCUAGAACGAAUCCGACGGUGAGGGACGAAGCCCUAGGGCGCAAACGGGAUUAGAUACCCCGGUAGUCUAGGGUGUAAACGCUGCAGACUUGGUGUUGGGGGUCCCGCGUGGGCUCCCAGUGCCGGAGCGAAGGUGUUAAGUCUGCCACUUGGGGAGUACGGCCGCAAGGCUGAAACUUAAAGGAAUUGGCGGGGGAGCACCGCAACGGGAGUAGCGUGCGGUUCAAUUGGAUUCAACGCCGGAAAACUCACCGGGGGCGACGGAAGUAUGAAGGCCAGGCUGAAGACCUUGCUCGAUCUUCCGAGAGGUGGUGCAUGGCCGUCGUCAGUUCGUACCGUAAGGCGUUCUGUUAAGUCAGAUAACGAACGAGACCCUCGCCUUCAGUCGCAACUCCGCGGGUGACCGCGGGGGCACACUGGAGGGAUCGCCGUCGCUAAGAUGGAGGAAGGAGAGGUCAACGGUAGGUCCGUAUGCCCCGAAUCUCCCGGGCAACACGCGCGCUACAAAGGCUGGGACAAUGGGAUCCGACCCCGAGAGGGGGAGGUAAUCCUGAAACCCAGUCGUGGUCUGGACUGAGGGCUGUAACUCGCCCUCACGAAAAUGGAUUCCGUAGUAAUCGCGGGUCAACAUCCCGCGGUGAAUAUGCCCCUGCUCCU